AUUGAACGCUGGCGGCAGGCCUAACACAUGCAAGUCGAGCGGUAACAGGAAAUAGCUUGCUAUUUUGCUGACGAGCGGCGGACGGGUGAGUAACGCGUAGGAAUUUGCCCAGUAGUGGGGGAUAGCCCGGAGAAAUUCGGAUUAAUACCGCAUACGCCCUAAGGGGGAAAGCAGGGGAUCUUCGGACCUUGCGCUAUUGAAUAAGCCUGCGUGAGAUUAGCUAGUUGGUGAGGUAAGGGCUCACCAAGGCGACGAUCUCUAGCUGGUCUGAGAGGAUGAUCAGCCACACUGGAACUGAGACACGGUCCAGACUCCUACGGGAGGCAGCAGUGGGGAAUAUUGCACAAUGGGCGAAAGCCUGAUGCAGCCAUGCCGCGUGUGUGAAGAAGGCUCUAGGGUUGUAAAGCACUUUCAGUAGGGAGGAAAAGUCGAUAGCUAAUAUCUAUCGGCCGUGACGUUACCUACAGAAGAAGCACCGGCUAAC
Molecule: ribosomal RNA, 484 nt
Filed under: uncultured bacterium
Lineage: Bacteria
Description: bacterial SSU rRNA
Rfam family: Bacterial small subunit ribosomal RNA
Source: RNAcentral